RNAcentral lists this ribosomal RNA (493 nucleotides) under uncultured bacterium. RNAcentral describes it as "bacterial SSU rRNA". It matches the Rfam family "Bacterial small subunit ribosomal RNA", at positions 25 to 518 of the family's 1533-position model. The record is from RNAcentral.
CAGGAUGAACGCUGGCGGCGUGCUUAACACAUGCAAGUCGAACGAAGCAUGGAAGCGGAGGUUUCGGAUCGAAGGUCCUUGACUUAGUGGCGGACGGGUGAGUAACGCGUGGGCAACCUGCCCUUAACCGGGGGACAACAGUUGGAAACGGCUGCUAAUACCGCAUAAGCGCACGGUACCGCAUGGUAGUGUGUGAAAAAAUUCCGGUGGUUAAGGAUGGGCCCGCGUUGGAUUAGGUAGUUGGUGAGGUAACGGCCCACCAAGCCGACGAUCCAUAGCCGACCUGAGAGGGUGACCGGCCACAUUGGGACUGAGACACGGCCCAGACUCCUACGGGAGGCAGCAGUGGGGAAUAUUGCACAAUGGGGGAAACCCUGAUGCAGCCGACGCCGCGUGAGUGAAGAAGUAUUUCGGUAUGUAAAGCUCUAUCAGCAGGGAAGAAAAUGACGGUACCUGCACAAGAAGCCCCGGCUAACUACGUGCCAGCCGCAGC